GUGAAUCAUCGAAUCUUUGAACGCAAAUGGCACUCCCUGUUAUGCCGGGGAGUAUGCCUGUUUGGGGUUCGUUAGAAGGAAAGUCGAAGCAUCGCUCUUUUUUUUGAGUGUGAUCUCGUCGGAAUUUAGCCGUCGGUCAGAGGUUAAUCCAUGUCAAAGUGGCUUAAGGUUCAUCCAUCCGGUACGAUGAAAGCGUAUGUAAGAUCAGUCUUGAUGAAGAACGCGCGAUGACGUACCAUCUCAUGUAGGAU
Molecule: unclassified non-coding RNA, 251 nt
Filed under: Glomus sp.
Lineage: Eukaryota; Fungi; Glomeromycota; Glomeromycetes; Glomerales; Glomeraceae
Description: partial internal transcribed spacer 2
Rfam family: 5.8S ribosomal RNA (bases 1-71)
Source: RNAcentral